Nomascus leucogenys (northern white-cheeked gibbon) is the source of this 582-nucleotide long non-coding RNA. RefSeq lists it as uncharacterized. NCBI's taxonomy places the organism in Eukaryota, Metazoa, Chordata, Mammalia, Primates, Hylobatidae. The record is from RefSeq and is a predicted model, not a curated record. The transcript is spliced from 4 exons.
CCUGAUGAGAAUGAAAAGUUAUUUCGACAUAUAUGGACAGAAGCCAUGGGGUGGAGGAGAAAGAGAAUAUACUUUAGAAUCAAACGGAUCCACAAGGGAAUGUUCAAAUCCUGGCUCUUUCACCAUGAGCUGUGCAAAUUUGGGAAUCUGGCCAAACUCCAGGGCCGCCUAUCAUGAGCAGCCUUGUUUGCUUACAAUUUGCGGAGUUGCAAAGGGUAAAGGACUGGCUUUGACUAUUCAGUCUUUCAGGAAAACUUGAUCCAGUCGGCUAUAUUCUUGGACUGGCAAAACUGUAAUGUUGAGUGCUUCUGCCAACUGAUAACCUAUGAGAAAUCAAGACAGAGCUGCUCUGGGAUGACUAUGCACAUUGAAGGAGUCGCUGGAAAGGCAGCAGAGAGGGCAUGGAGACAGACACAUCUGGAUGAGAAACUCCAGCUCCGCCCACUUAACAGCUGUGUGAUCUUGGAUGUGCCAGUUACUCUCUUGCCUCAGUUCGUUCAUCUGUGAAAUGGAGCAAACAUCACAUCCCUGGUGGUUGUGAAGAUUAACCAUGAUCAUGUGUAUGUGGCAGGUACUGUACUG